RNAcentral lists this ribosomal RNA (253 nucleotides) under uncultured bacterium. Its description in RNAcentral is "partial 16S ribosomal RNA". It matches the Rfam family "Bacterial small subunit ribosomal RNA", at positions 524 to 776 of the family's 1533-position model. The record is from RNAcentral.
UACGGAGGGUGCAAGCGUUAUCCGGAUUCACUGGGUUUAAAGGGUGCGUAGGUGGGUUGGUAAGUCAGUGGUGAAAUCUCCAGGCUUAACUUGGAAACUGCCAUUGAUACUAUCAAUCUUGAAUACCGUGGAGGUCAGCGGAAUAUGUCAUGUAGCGGUGAAAUGCUUAGAUAUGACAUAGAACACCAAUUGCGAAGGCAGCUUACUACACAGUCAUUGACACUGAGGCACGAAAGCGUGGGGAUCAAACAGG